AACGAACGCUGGCGGCAUGCCUAACACAUGCAAGUCGAACGAGACCUUCGGGUCUAGUGGCGCACGGGUGCGUAACGCGUGGGAACCUGCCCUUAGGUUCGGAAUACCUCCCCGAAAGGGGUGCUAAUACCGGAUAAUGUCUUCGGACCAAAGAUUUAUCGCCUUUGGAUGGGCCCGCGUUGGAUUAGCUAGUUGGUAGGGUAAAAGCCUACCAAGGCGACGAUCCAUAGCUGGUCUGAGAGGAUGAUCAGCCACACUGGGACUGAGACACGGCCCAGACCCCUACGGGAGGCAGCAGUGGGGAAUAUUGGACAAUGGGCGAAAGCAUGAUCCAGCAAUGCCGCGUGAGUGAUGAAGGCCUUAGGGUUGUAAAGCUCUUUUACCCGGGAUGAUAAUGACAGUACCGGGAGAAUAAGCUCCGGCUAACUCCGUG
RNAcentral lists this ribosomal RNA (433 nucleotides) under uncultured bacterium. RNAcentral's name for it is "partial 16S ribosomal RNA". It matches the Rfam family "Bacterial small subunit ribosomal RNA", at positions 29 to 507 of the family's 1533-position model. The record is from RNAcentral.